RNAcentral lists this ribosomal RNA (639 nucleotides) under Phyllodromica sp. Phil. RNAcentral's name for it is "16S ribosomal RNA". It matches the Rfam family "Bacterial large subunit ribosomal RNA", at positions 1774 to 2699 of the family's 2925-position model. The record is from RNAcentral. Lineage: Eukaryota; Metazoa; Arthropoda; Insecta; Blattodea; Ectobiidae.
AUGAAUUAGGCAAAAAUUGUGUUCGCCUGUUUAACAAAAACAUCUCUUCUUGUAUUAUUUAUGAGGUAUAGCCUGCCCACUGUUUAAAUAAUGAAGGGCUGCGGUAUUUUGACCGUACAAAGGUAGCAUAAUCAUUAGUCUUUUAAUUGGAGGCUGGAAUGAAGGGUUGGACGAGAUACAUUCUGUAUUAUUAUUAUUAAUUUUGAAUUUAAUUAUUAAGUUAUAAAGCUUAAAUAUUUUUAUGGGACGAGAAGACCCUAUAGAGCUUUAUAUUAAUUAAUAUUUUAUUAAGUAAUAUUGGUGAAUUUUAUAUUAUUUAAUAUUUUGUUGGGGUGAUAGGGAGAUAAGAUUAACUCUUUUUGUUGUUGGAUAUUUAUAUAUAAUUAUUUUGAUCUUUUUUUAGUGAUUAUAAGAAUAAGUUACCUUAGGGAUAACAGCGUAAUCUUCUUUGAGAGUUCAUAUCGAUAAGGGGGUUUGCGACCUCGAUGUUGGAUUAAGAUUAAUUAUGGGUGAAGAGGUUCAUAUAUUAGGUCUGUUCGACCUUUAAAAUCUUACAUGAUCUGAGUUCAAAUCGGUUUAAGCCAGAUUGGUUUCUAUCUAUAAUUUAUAUAUUUAUUUUAGUACGAAAGGACCAAAUAA